Amborella trichopoda is the source of this 1195-nucleotide long non-coding RNA. RefSeq lists it as uncharacterized. NCBI's taxonomy places the organism in Eukaryota, Viridiplantae, Streptophyta, Magnoliopsida, Amborellales, Amborellaceae. The record is from RefSeq and is a predicted model, not a curated record.
UAAAGAAUGUAUUAAGACAAAUUCACAUACCAUCAUAAAACACAGCUAAUUGUAUAUGAAUGUAUUUAUAUGUCCUUUAUUAACAACAGUUUAUAGAAAUAUUAUCAGAGUUUGCACACGAAACUCGCCUCAGCACCCUGCCGAGGUGGAGUCGACCCAGCACGCACUCGCCUGAGUAUAUGUUAAGAGCCAAUAUUUUUAUACUGUGUUAUUCUAGGACUUCUCUGUGUCUCUCAUCAUUGCAGAGGUUUAUCAGUAAUUUGUUGCAACUUUUUUAUCCCCAAUAUUUUUUCAUGUCUGAAUCUGUGAAGAUGACUGAAUCAUUGACUGUCACAUAAACAACUGAUUGCAUUGAACAUUUCUUAUGGGUUGGUUAUUAGGGUUUAGAGGCCCUAGCCUUUCAUUAAAUUGGAAUGGAACAUUUACCAUAAAGAUGCAAGAAUUAAAAAGGUGCAAAGCCAAUCUCCCUUACAUGUAACCUUUUCCUCUUGCAAAUGCAUGAUUAGCUAGAAAUUGAUAUCUCAAAACCAGUGUCCUAAAACUCAAGCGAGUCCACUCAGACUCACCCUAGUGGAUUAGGUCGGACUCGGAAGGAUGCUGAGUCCGAGUAGGAACGGGCCAAACUUAGCCAGUUCCUAUAUCUUAUCACACUAUACCUAGCAAGUUGCAUGCCCUAGAUUUUGCCCAAGGCUUCCCUAAAAUGCCUUCGACACCCUUAUUUCUCUGUUCAUCUGUCUAAAGUAUCUCUCUCUAAAGUUGCAGUGCUCGAGCUAUCUCUUUCUCUCUGUUGGGCCUGGGUAUCGUGGCGAUCAACUUUUUCUUACACUGGAGGUACACUUGAGAAGGAUGCUUGAACAUUCUUAGGUUCUUGAUUAAGGUUGAGGGUUCCUCUUCUCAUCACGAAUUCAACCUUUAGAAACUCAUAGACUCGAUGGACCAAGUAUUUGCAUCAUCAACAAGCAAGGGAGAAUUUUAGGGUUUUGAUACACCUCUUCAAUUUAGGGAUUCAGGGUUUGGGAUUCCAUAGCGCCCACAAAGAGGUAUGUUCUGAGCAUGUAUUUUUCUCUAAAAUACAUCACUGCAAAUGUUGUGGAUCGAAACAAUGGUCGAAUUGUAGCUUUGCUUCUUCUGAUUUGAAGAGUAAUUUUGAGUGUGGUCGCUUUUGUAACUCAAAGGCACCCGCUGUUGUUGGUAA